This 101-nucleotide non-coding RNA is filed under the name unclassified sequences. The record is from Rfam.
AUUAAGCAUCAGGAGUGAAUAAGUAAUUAUUCUGCCAACCUGCUUAGAGGAAAGUAAGGUGGAGUAGGAUGUGGUCUUAAUGACAAUUAAGUUCCUCAUCA